RNAcentral lists this long non-coding RNA (253 nucleotides) under Populus tremula. Its description in RNAcentral is "long non-coding RNA (PTRE_LNC002339)". Lineage: Eukaryota; Viridiplantae; Streptophyta; Magnoliopsida; Malpighiales; Salicaceae. The record is from RNAcentral.
UUAUUUUUUAUUUUUUGGGGGGGGACGAGUAUGGGCUGUGAUUGGUGGGGAUUUAAAUUUGGAUGUUUAGUUUGUUAAGGAGAAUAAAAAACACGAGAUCGAAGCAAGAAAAGGGGCGAUGGAGAGAGGGAGAGGUGAGCAGCAUGGUGUUCGGAUUCGUUUAUAGUGUGAUAAAUAUUGGGGAGAGAGGGAGGUGGAUGAGCUUGGAAACCAAGUAAAGACUGAUGGCGCCGCUGGUUGGGAAGUAGGGCCC